RNAcentral lists this ribosomal RNA (305 nucleotides) under uncultured bacterium. RNAcentral describes it as "bacterial SSU rRNA". It matches the Rfam family "Bacterial small subunit ribosomal RNA", at positions 338 to 641 of the family's 1533-position model. The record is from RNAcentral.
CCUACGGGGCGCAGCAGUGAGGAAUAUUGGUCAAUGGACGCAAGUCUGAACCAGCCAUGCCGCGUGCAGGAUGACGGCUCUAUGAGUUGUAAACUGCUUUUGUACGAGGGUAAACCCCGAUACGUGUAUCGGGUUGAAAGUAUCGUACGAAUAAGGAUCGGCUAACUCCGUGCCAGCAGCCGCGGUAAUACGGAGGAUGCGAGCGUUAUCCGGAUUUAUUGGGUUUAAAGGGUGCGUAGGCGGAAUGCCAAGUCAGCGGUAAAAUCGCGGGGCUCAACCUCGCUCCGCCGUUGAAACUGGCGUUC